UUUAUACUCCCUCCGCUCCAACAAAAGAUGUCUCAAAUUUGUCAAAAAUUGAAUGUAUCUAAACAUGACUUAGUGUAUAGAUGCAUUCAAAUUUUGUCAAAAUUGAGACAUCUUUUGUUGGACGGAGAGAGUACCUU
Non-coding RNA from Brachypodium distachyon (stiff brome), 137 nucleotides. Lineage: Eukaryota; Viridiplantae; Streptophyta; Magnoliopsida; Poales; Poaceae. The record is from Rfam.